CAACAACUCCCAAUAAUUCUAAUCCCUACUGCUCUAUAAGCACGGUGUGUAGGCGUCCACACCGUGCGCGUUCUGCCUCCCGACGCUCCAUGCAUCUCGGUCACGCUUUCAUCUCCGCCAUCAUCGGCUACCUGCCUCGACAUCCUCCCCCUCCGCUCACCGUCCAGGAUCUCAUCGCGCACGCCUAGUCUGUCCCACCCCGACAUCCUCCCCCACCACGCCGUGCACGCCUCACGUCGUGCGUCUCCACCACGCCCGCCGCACACGCCGCGAUGAGAUCCAGGAAAGCAGUCUGCGGAUCCCCCGCGACAUCCUCCUCCACCGCGCCAUGGCCGCCCCCGACGUCCUCCCCUCCGCGCCGCGCCCGCCCGAUCCAAUGAUGAAAGCGGGUCGGAUCUCGGGGGCACUUCCCCCACCACUGCUCCAAGCUCAUGGAGCACCAAGAAUCCGCCAAGUCGAGCCCUGAGCUCCGACGUGAACCUGCGAAUCCAGCGCCUCUGUCAGGCGGGUGACCUCGCAUGCGCUCUGAGGCUGCUGGGCUCUGACGGCGGCGUAGAUGUGCGGAGCUACUGCACGGUCGUUCAGCUCUGCGGGGAGGAGCGGUCGUUGGAGGCUACCAAGAGAGCACAUGCCUUAAUUCGCGCGUCCAGUGUCGCUGCCACGGGUGGAAAAAGGGAGCGUCUUUGGGAAGAGGUUAAUGCUGGCGUACCUGAAAUGCGGCGACCUGGGCGAGGCAAGGACGGUGUUCGAUGGAAUGCCUCCUCAAGCUGCUGAUGUCCGUGUCCGGACUUCGCUGAUGAGCGCGUACGCCAAGGCGGGUGAUUUACAGAAAGUUGUUUUGCUGUUUAGGCAGAUGCAAGUGCUGCGGGGUCAGUCCAGAUGCACAUGCUGUUUCCUGUGUCCUCAAGUGCGUUGCCAGUUUGGGCAGCCUUACGAACGAGGUGAUUCAUGGAUUACUUUGAGAAGUUGGGUCUCGGUCAAGCAUGCGCGGUUGCAAAUGCUCUGAUCGCCGUGUACUCGAGGUGUGGACGGAUGGAGGAUGCGAAGCGGGUAUUUGACAGUAUGCAUCCCUGGGAUGCCAUCUCUUGGAAUUCUAUGAUUGGUGGAUGCUUUUCAAACGGAUGGCAUGGUACAGCUGUUGAUUUUUUCAGCAAAAUGUGGUCUCAAGGUACGGAGAUCAGUUCAGUGACAGUGCUCGUGUUCUGCCUGCUUGUGCGGGAUUAGGUUAUGGCCUUAUUGGAAAAGCGGUGCAUGGAUACUCCGUGAAAUCCGGAUUGCUUUGAGGCCUUGAUUCUGUACAAAGUGGGAUAGAUGAUGCUGCUCUUGGAUCCAAACUGGUAUUCAUGUAUGUGAAAUGUGGGGACAUGGGCUCUGCAAGAAGGGUGCUUGAUGCGAUGUCAUCAAAAGGUAAUGUGCACGUAUGGAAUCUGAUAAUGGGUGGGUACGCAAAGGGAUGGCUUGGUGGCUCAUGGAUAUAUAGUAAAAUUGGGUUUCAGGGCAGAGUGUGCAGUUUGCAAUGCACUGAUAUCAUUCUAUGCAAAGUCCAACAUGAUUGGCGAUGCAGUCUUGGUGUUCGAUAUAAUGCCUCGUCAAGAUACCAUUUCUUGGAAUUAUGUGAUUAGUGGAUGCUCUUCCAAUGGACUAAACAGUGAAGCUAUUGAGUUGUUCAUAAGAAUGUGGACACAAGGACAUGAGCUGGACUUAGUUACAUUGCUAAGUGUUUUUGCCAGCUUGUGCAGUCACGCUAUUGGUUUGCAGGAAGGGUGGUUCAUGGUUACUCGGUUAAAACUGGAUUGAUUGGGGAAACAUCUCUUGCAAACUGGAUUCAUUGUUCAUGUUGCUAAUGCUAGCAAUUUUUCCUACCAGAUUUCUUGGUAUAUCUUUUAGGAAGCCUGCUAAAUCUACAUUGGAACUUAUCUUUAAAAUUUGUAUGUCAUCAAGUCCAAUUUUAUUUGUGCAAUAAAAGCAGGGAGGCUUUUAUCUAUAACAUUUUCCUUUUAUCUUUUCUGUAGAGAUUUUUCUCACAACUAGCUGUUAGGCAACUUCUAUGUUUUCCUGUAGUGUAUGUGCGCAACCAUGGGUCGGUUCCUAGGGCGGACUGGUCCACCUGGACCGUGGAGGUGGCGGGGCUCGUGAGACGCCUCGCCAAGUUGACCAUGGAGCAGCUAGUGACGGAGUUCGAGACCUUGGAACUCCCCGUGACGCUGGUAUGCGUGGCCAACCGACACAAGGAGCAUAACAUGGUGUGCCAAAAGGUGGGCUUCAACUAGCCCCGACGCCAUCUCCAUGUCCAUGCGGUGCGGCACGCGCCUCUACGACGUGUUGUGUCACUGCGGUGUCAUGGGCACCACGGAUGACGUUGUCAACGUGUGCUUCAAUACUGAUUCUUUAGAAAUACUUUGUGCCAUAUUAUAAUAUUGGUUGCACAUUAGUCCAUUCUAUUUAAUCACACGGAUUUCACAAA
Molecule: long non-coding RNA, 2464 nt
Organism: Zea mays
Lineage: Eukaryota; Viridiplantae; Streptophyta; Magnoliopsida; Poales; Poaceae
Exons: 2
Source: RefSeq, a predicted model, not a curated record